This 1058-nucleotide long non-coding RNA is filed under the name Canis lupus familiaris (dog). Its description in RNAcentral is "lncRNA (ENSCAFG00030013448.1)". The record is from RNAcentral. Lineage: Eukaryota; Metazoa; Chordata; Mammalia; Carnivora; Canidae.
GAUGGAGAGAUGCCGAGAAGGGUGGCCAGCAAUGCAAGGCUGGGCACCCCUAGGCAGGGUGGGCUACACCCUUAGCGGUCUGCCCUUCCCCGAAGACUGAUGCCACUCCUGCCAGCCCAGCCGGAGCCCCACGCUGCCUCUCCUGUGGGCGCUCCCCUUGGCCCUCAGCGGUCACUGUGAAGAUCCUCACCCAGGCUACGAGGCAGCCUUGGCCCGGCUCACUGCCCAGGUGGGGUUUCCAUCAUGGAUUGUUCAGAGAACAGAACGGACAACUUUAUGAAGAGAAGGGGUGGGGGGUAGGGGACAGACGAAGAAAGCUGUUUUUAGAAGGAGAAGGGAGUAGGCCAAAAUAAUUUAUUUUGUUCUCUUUUCUAACAAGGACUGGGAGACAGAGAUCUGAGCUGCCCCCUGAGUUCUCUGGGUUUUCUUUUGCUCCAAGGGCCGCCUGGCCCAUCUGCUUGCUAGGGCCAGAUCACAGUCCCCUUGCUGGGGGGACAAGACGCCUCAGUGGUUUCCAGCUCUGUGACGACCUCGAGAGGCAUGGGGGACCCUCUCCUUCCUCCGGCUCCCUGGGGUCUUACCACCGACUGGGGACUCUGAGUCUUCUGAGUCAGCUGAGCGACGCUGCCCUAGGUCACCCCCCUCGCGUUCCAGAUGCAGCUGAGCCUCUACUUGCCCAUUGGCCUCACCCCAGCAGGCCCCCCGCAGCGCCACCUUCCAGGUCUUGGAGGGACAGCUGGCGGGGGCUGGUGAGGCUGUUUCAGUCCUGGCUCCGUUCACUUCUCCCCGUGUGACCACUCUGUACGCAGCCCCCCCCCCCCCCCGCCCUUCCCGAGGCUGGUGAGACCUGUAGGCGCUCAGGGCAGGGGUGGCUCCCACCCCGCGCACAGCUGCGCUCACUGACUGCGCCGCCGGAGGAGCAGGUGGAUGGCACUCUUGGAGCCCCCACCGGUGACUGACUCACCUGCCGCCUGCGCCCCUCUGUGCUUACUUGUGUGGGUGCUCGUGGGUGAUGAUGUGAUCACAUGCUUGCAGGUGUGUGCACGUGCACACAUGAG